UGUACAUUUUCAGAAUGUGCUUGUUCUAUUUUUACACAAAGAUCUGAAGAUAUCUUUAUUUUUAAGUUAUCGUGCUGUGAUUUGACCAGUGUGGCCCAUGUGGGAGUAGAUUUUUCUCCAUUUGGUCCCUGAUCUAAAAUGAGUUUGACACCCCUUCUCUAAGUGGUCGUUUGGCUCCAUAUACCAGUCGCAUAACACAUGAUAUAAAAAAAAUCCUUAUUUCCUGCCCCUUUCUUUUAGAAAAAUUACAAUAAAAUGGUCUAGAAGUUAGAUGGUGUAACAAAACAACACCAUUAUGAUUUGUACAUUUUCAGAAUGUGCUUGGUUUAUUUUUAAACAAACAGCAGAAGGUUUCUUUAUUUUUAAGUUAACAUGCCGUGAUUUUACCAGUCCGGCCCACUUGGGAGUAGAUUUUUCUCCAUUUGGCCCGCGAUCUAAAAUGAGAUUGACACCCCUGGUUUAGAGUGUCCGACCUGAAAUUGGUAGGUCUUGAGUUCAAACCAAAGACUAUAAAAAUGGGACCUAUUACCUCUCUGCUUGACACUGAGCAUCAAGAAAAGGAAGUGGGGGUUGAAUCACCAAAUAUGCUUCCUGGGCGCGGCCACAACUGCUGCUCACUGCUCCCCUCACCUCCCAGGGGGGUGAACAAGGGGAUGGGUCAAAUGCAGAGGACACAUUUUGUCACGCCUAGUGUGUAUGUGUGUGACUAUCAUUGGUACUUUGGUACCAUCGACUGGUGUAAAAGAUGCCGGAGAUGAGCCUUAAAAUAAAAACUACUUUAAUGCACUGAACUCAUAAAAGCUACAAAACAUACAAACAAGUACGUCACAGCAAAACUACAUUUUUAAUCACGUUUUUAACCACCAAAAUUAAAGGUUUUUUCUCCAAUCAAUUAAAUGUACUAAAUGUGGAUCAAAUAAUACAACAAAUUAAAAACACAACGCCAGGAAGAAACCAACAGCCUGUCAUAUUCUUUUAUAUAAAAAUGAUAGAAUCAUAAGCAGGCGCAGGGGAAAAAAAAGUUAGGAUGAAGAUGUGAGUUUUGUUCCCAUGAAAAUGUAUCAGCUUUACAGAAGAGUCCCAAAAACAGAGUUGAGCACACAUGAAGGGACCUCGGCCCGUCUUCUCUGAUUAGCCACAGAAAAACUAAAGGACCUUUCCAAAUGUUCUUGUAAUCAGACAAUAUUUUCGGUAGAGAUGUCCGAUAAUGGCUUUUUUUUGCCAAUAACCGAUAUUCCGAUAUUGUCCAACUCUUAAUUACCGAUUCCGAUAUCAACCGAUACCGAUAUAUACAGUCGUGGAAUUAACACAUUAUUAUGCCUAAUUUUGUUAUGAUGCCCCGCUGGAUGCAUUAAACAAAAUAAGGUUUUCCAAAAUAAAUCAUCUCAAUGCCAUAUUUAUUAUUAAAGUCACAAAGUGCAUUAUUUUUUUUAACAUGCCUAAAAACGGCAGCUUGGAAUUUGGGACAUGCUCUCCCUGAGAGCAUGAGGAGGUUGAGGUGGGGGGAGGGUAGCGGAGGUUGUAUAUUGUAGCGUCCCGAAAGAGUUAGUGCUGCAUGGGAUUCUGGGUAUUUCUUCUCUUGUGUUUAUGUUGUGUUACGGUGCGGAUUUUCUCCCAAAAUGUGUUUGUCAUUCUUGUUUGGUGUGGGUUCACAGUGUGGCACAUAUUUGUAACAGUGUUAAUGUUGUUUAUACCACCACCCUCAGUGUGACCUGUAUGGCUGUUGACCAAGUGAGAGAGCAUGAGGAGGUUGAGGUGGGGGGAGGGUAGCGGAGGGUGUAUAUUGUAGCGUCCCGGAAGAGUUAGUGCUGCAUGGGAUUCUGGGUAUUUCUUCUGUUGUGUUAUGGUGCGGAUUUUCUCCCGAAAUAUAAAUGAUAAAUGGGUUGUACUUGUAUAGCGCUUUUCUACCUUCAAGGUACUCAAUGCGCUUUGACACUACUUCCACAUUUACCCAUUCACACACACAUUCACACACUGAUGGAGGGAGCUGCCAUGCAAGGCACCAACCAGCACCCAUCAGGAGCAAGGGUGAAGUGUCUUGCUCAACGGACGUGACGAGGUUGGUACUAGGUGGGAUUUGAACCAGGGACCCUCGGGUUGCGCACAGCCGGUUGCGCACAGCCACUCUCCCACUGCGCGACGCCGUCCCUAAAAAUGUGUUUGUCAUGUGUUUGAAAUGUGUUGGUCAUUCUUGUUUGGUGUGGUUUCACAGUGUGGCGCAUAUUUGUAACAGUGUUAAAGUUGUUUAUACCACCACCCCCAGUGUGACCUGUAUGGCUGUUGACCAAGUAUGCCUUACAUUCACUUGUGUGUGUAAAAAGCCAUAGAUAUGUGACUGGGCAGGCACGCAAAGGCAGUGCCUUUAAGGUUUAUUGGCACUCUGUAUUUCUCCCUAUGUCCGUGUACACGGCUGCGUUUUAAAAAGUCAUAAAUUUUACUUUUUUAAACCAAUAUCGAUAAUUUCUGAUAUUACAUUUUAAAGAUUUUAUCGGGCGAUAAUAUCGGCAGUCCGAUAUUAUCAGACAUCUCUAAUUUUAGGUAUAUUAGAUGGAAUUUUUGGGUAACAAAACCAUCUAAUACACCGAAAAUAUUGUCUGAUUGGAAGAAAAUGUGAAAUUAUAUGAGGAAGAAGACAUAAUGAAACUUUUUGAGAAACUAAAGGACCGUUCCUGCUCUCUGCUCUUCAAACCAAAAGACCGGGGGUUAAGAAUGUUUUUUGUGUGGGGACACAAAGCCUGAUAGUCGUAGUGAAAAUAACAAGUCACAUGUGUGCACGCUCUCCGUGGUGAUGAAUGGAGAGAAGAAUGGCGCCUAAUUGCGCGGCUGCGUGAGUCAGACCCCCGACCACCGUGCUCGGCCUUUGUCGUACGCUGCUCUCGUUACACCCGUGUGACGUCAAUGCUGUUCUUUCCGCCGCUGUGCAAUGUCUGGAUCACGAUGUUGUCGAUGAUUCUAAUAACCUCGCACGAGCCGUGACGCUAAUUAUCAUGUUUUGUUCCAGCUUCGGAAGAUUUAUUCUUGACGACUGAAGCGAAUGUGCCCAUUUUAAGUCAACCGCACGACGACAGCCGCGGCGAGUUGAGCGACAUUCCUGAUUUGAAAGCAACAUUUUUCUUUCUUAUGACGCUGGCAUGGAAACAGGAGCUCAGAACGUUAAAAAUAAUACCUUCGAAGUCCAAACGCCCCCAAAAGCGGUCCACAAUCGUCCGAACAAAAUAUCGCUCCGAAGUCAAUUUGUGUUUCGAGAAAGCUCCGCAGGUGAAGGUACUGAGCUAACGUCUUUCUGCUUUAUAAGAUGCUGGCAUGGAAACAGGAGUUCAGAACAUUUAGCGAGAUUAAAAGUAAUACCUCCACAUUGGGUUGGGUGAACUAGACCAGUGUUUUUUCAACCAGUGUGCUGUGGGAGAUUAUGUAAUUUCAUAGGCAACACGGUGCAACAGGGGUUAGUGCAUGUACCUCACAAUAGGAAAGUCCUGGGUUCGAUCCUGGGUUCAGGAUCUUUCUGUGUGGAGUUUGCAUGUCCUCCCUGUGACUGCAUGGGUUCCCUUCGGGAACUCCGGCUUCGUCUCACCCCCAGAGAAGAGUACCUGGGGAUAGGUUGAUUGGCAACACUAAAUUGGCCCUAGUGUGUGAAUGUGAGUGUGACUGUUGUCCGUCUAUCGAUGUUGGCUCUGCGAUGAGGUGGCGACUUGUCCAGGGUGUAGCUCGCUUUCCGCCCAAAGCAGCUGAGUUGAAGUGGCCGGGGUUUGGUGCUAGCAGGGGUGUAUAAUGGAGCCCGGAAGAGUCGGGGAUACAUGGGAUUCUGGGUAUUUGUAAAGUUGCGUUUAUAAUGUGUUACAGCGCGGACGUUCUCCCGAAAUGUGUUUGUCAUUCUUGUUUGGUGUAGGUUCACGGUGUGGCGCAUAUUAGUAAGAGUGUUAAAGUUGUUUAUAUCACAACCCUCAGUGUAACCUGUAUGGCUGUUGAGUAAGUAUGCCUUGCAGUCGGUCAUGUUUGUCUGCAGAAGCCUCAUACAAUAUGCGAAUGGGCUGGUAAGCUUUUUGUUACAGUUGUGGAGGGCGCUAAACACACUGUCAUCAUAGCAUGCCCUUAUUAUUGUUGUUUGGGUGAAAACCUGUAGACAGUCGAGAGAAAGGUUGCUCUGAAACUCGGUAGUCUCCCGGAAAAAUUGAGAUGGUUGGCAAAUUUGGUGUUGUCAAGUAGCAUUCAAAUAAAACUAGCACUAAUAUAAAAUUUUCAUAUUAAGGUGCGGGUCAUGUGUCUGAGAUCCCUGUUGAAUACAUAGCACAAAGCAAAACCAAACUUUGUACGCUGUGUUAUUUCAUUUUAAAUUUCAAAAGAGUCUUGUGGCUCCCAUAGUUUUCUUUAUUUUGUGAAACGGGUCAAAAUGGCUCUUUGAGUGGUAAAGGUUGGCGACCCCUGCUGUAGAUGAUGGUAAAUAUGUACAAAAUAAAUCACAUGUUAGUACAUCAAUCGAGGAAAAUGAUCAAACUACAUACAUGGCAUACUGUCAUUUGAUUUUGAUAUUUUUUUAUCUUGAUAGAUUGAAAAUGAACACCAUUGAGUUGACUGAAUAUCACAUCAUUCAUUCAGAAAAUAUAAAUAACGACAAAUAAAAACAGAAUACUACUAACCGCAACAUGUAAGUGUAAAAAAAACAUUAUGAUUUGUACAUUUUCAGAAUGUGCUUCUUCUAUUUUUAAACACAGAAAGCAAUCUGAUUGUGUCUUCAUUUUUAAGUUAUCGUGCAGGGAUUUUACCAGUCCGGCCCACUUGGGAGUAGAUUUUUCUCCAUGUGGCCCCCGAUCUAAAAUGAGUUUGACACCUCUGAUAUAAAUGAUAUUUCAAUACUAUGGUCAAAUCACUGUAGCUUCCUCAUUAGCCAGCUAGCUUCUAAAUUACAAUUGUAUUUUGCGGGCAGUAGAGAGCACCGGUAUUUAAGAUGCACCCACCUAAUUCUAGAAGGAAUAAAUGUAUACAUAUAUUUUGUACAUUUUUUCCAAACGGUGCCUGUCACACAAAAGUCAUUGUUGUGGACCCACUAGCUACGGAAGCUAGCUCUCCAAUCAACUAAACAGACUCAAUAACUCCACAAAGACGUUUUGGUAAAAUUGCGAUACUGAAACAAUACAAAAAGAAUGCCAAUGUAGGUUAAAAAUACCAACAAAGACACUUGUAAAUGUGUUAGCAUAUUAGCUAAUGCUAACAACGCUAGUUUGAUUACGUUACGAUAGCAUGUACAAAUAUGCAUGAAAGCACUCCGACAGACAUCACACAUGGGACUGUUUAGUGAGUAUGGAUUGUUUUAGUUAUAUUGUUAAACUUACAAACGUUGCUUGGAGUGACGAAUGAAGAAUCCUUUCGGGCAGAAACGCUACAGAAAAAUAGAAGAUAAAACGGGAUGUAAUAAGUUGUAUUAACACUAUCUGGUCGGACCCAAUGUGUCCGUAAUGAUAACAACAUCCAGUUUCACUGCUACUGAUAUUAGCCUGCCACAAGGCUCUAAUAUCGGCCCUCUUUUUUUCUCCAUGUGUAUAAACGACCUAUGUGAGGAUGUAAAUAUCCAGAUGUAUGCAGACGACACGGUUAUUUAUACUUGGGGAAAGGACGCUGAAACGGUUGCCAGAAAACUUACAGCAGCCAUGGAGAAGGUGGCAAGAUGGCUACAUGACUCUUGUCUUACAUUAAACAUUAAGAAAACGGCAACAAUAUAUUUUGUAAACAAAUAUAAAAUGCCAUCCUUUCCAAAUAUAACGGUUAAUAAAGAAAUAAUACAAAAUGUUAGUGAAUAUCGCAACCUGGGUGUCAUUUUAGACCCAACACUUUAAAAAACAUAUCAAACAGAUGUGCCAGAGUCAUAAAUACAACAUAAAAAUGUUCAAAUGUAUCAGGAAUUCAUUAACACUGGAGGCAGCUCAAACUUAUUUUAAUGCAAUGAUUAUGUCUCCUUUUUAUUAUUGUAUAACAUGUUGGUCGCAGGCCAGCAAAAUGACACUGAGGCCAUUGGGAAGUUUGCACAGAUAAUCGCACAAAAUCCUCGACCAAAAACCACAACAUCACUGUUCAGUUCUCCAAAAAUAUAGAUUGUUAAAUUCAAAGAUUAGCAUCAAUACGAAUGGCCCAUCGAAUCCUAAAUAACACUGCACCAUCGCCACUUAAGCACUUUGUCCAGUUUACAUCUGCAGUGACAACUAGAAACACACGAGCAUCCACCAGGGGGCGGUGUAGCGUUCAUUCACAAUUGAAGUUCAAAAGUGGCUUUGGAGCGAUCAAAGCUGCUCACACGGUCACUAAGGUGGCCACUUUUUUGACAGAUCAACUUAAUGUGUAUUAUAUUUAUCCAUGAGAGCAUUUUUGUUGUAAAUUCUGAGGUGUGUCUGUUAAAAUCAUGGUUGUUUUUACAAAUGAUGACGGAUGUAAACGAAAGCAUGUAUUGUUUUUGUGUGAUGAUGUAAAUGAGGUGUGGUUGUAUUGUAUAUUAAGUAUGUGUCCAUGAAAGGGCAUUUUAUGACUUUUCUUAAUUUGAUUACAUGCUACGGUAUGAUUUUAUUGUAUGAUUUUUGUAUCCCUUUAAUUUAAGUAGCCAGGGACGGCAGAUGGAAAUGAGCUAUUUAGCUAUAAUCUGGAACAGAACAUAUCUGUUUUAGAGCUUAAUGUUUCUGUGCAUUGUCCCUUCAAAAAAAGACUAAACUGCGUAUCACGAUGGUGUUGACGUGAUUGGAUUAUUGCUGUCAUAUUUUUUUUUUACCAGUAACGGAGCAGGAGGCAGCUCAGAAUACAUUUACGGAAAAUUUCAUAUGAAUUACCCUGCCAUUUAUUAACUGAAAUUUCACUUAAGUUUCUUCAUGCGAGAAGCGUGUAGGAAGCGUACAAUUUGUAGUUUUAUACCAAAAUGUACAGGGAGGGGAGGAAGCAAGGGGAAUGCCUCAAAAGUCAAGUCACUUCAGAACUCAGUAUAAAGCGUUUUAGUUUUUCUCUGGCUUUCUUGUGACGCCCCAAUAGAUGGAUACCAAUAAUGUCCAAAGAGGAAAAGUGUGACGAUAGCCAUAGAAUUGUCUGCUCAGUACAAUAAGGGCAAUUGAAUAAUACAUCUACAAAUGUCAUUGUGCCUGGAUGAUUCUAACAUGACUAAUUCAAAGAAUUGUCCACCAGAGUUGACUACAAACUUUGUGAAAUGUCCUCGUAUUUGUGUCCUAGCUUGGGGUAUAAGUUGUGCAAACCAGGAAGUACUUUUAGCAAUAACGUCACUAAGUCUGGUCAUGUGGAGGUAAGCUCACGAGUUGUCGGAGGGAACGUGCUCCUCGAAGCCCUCACUCUCGCGGACCAGCGCCCUCUCCAGGAUGACGCGGCCCUCCUUGUAGCGCUGGCUGUCCUCGGUGGCGAACUCGUAGAUCCAGCCCAGCUUGCUGUUGCAGUUCUUGCAGCUGACGUCUCUCACCAUGUGUCUGCCUGUCAGCAUCACGCGGUCCUGGACCUCGCUGUACUGCAGGUUGACCACCUGUGCACACAAUUAAAAACGUACGUAAGUGUAUACACAAUGUAUAGGCUGAAACAUUGUGUCUCAUAUUGUUCUGGUCCGAGCCUGCAGGUGGCGAUAAUACGCACUUUAAGCCUUUGUGUGGAAAUGAGGCUCACCUCCCCGGCACACUCAGUGAUCAUUAACAGAGCUACUGACCAGGUGACCAGUACUGCAGACGAUCAGCACUGCAAGGACAAAAGGGGGGCGUGGACCCGUGAGCACCGCAGUGAAUGCAGCCUGAGCAGACCGAAGAAAAUUCUCACAAGUACCUCAAAUAAAUGCCCUUUCAGAUAUCAAAA
Molecule: long non-coding RNA, 7818 nt
Organism: Nerophis ophidion (straightnose pipefish)
Lineage: Eukaryota; Metazoa; Chordata; Actinopteri; Syngnathiformes; Syngnathidae
Exons: 2
Source: RefSeq, a predicted model, not a curated record